GGCCCUAUGGCGCAACGGUAGCGCGUCAGAUUCCAGUGCACUCUGGAAAUACCUGAAGGCUUUGUGUUCGAAUCACAAUGGGGUCA
This is a non-coding RNA of Pyrenochaeta sp. MPI-SDFR-AT-0127, 86 nucleotides long. The record is from the annotation of a GenBank genome assembly. Lineage: Eukaryota; Fungi; Ascomycota; Dothideomycetes; Pleosporales; Cucurbitariaceae.